Molecule: ribosomal RNA, 253 nt
Filed under: uncultured bacterium
Lineage: Bacteria
Description: partial 16S ribosomal RNA
Rfam family: Bacterial small subunit ribosomal RNA
Source: RNAcentral
UACGGAGGGGACUAGCGUUGUUCGGAAUUACUGGGCGUAAAGCGCACGUAGGCGGAUUUGUAAGUCAGGGGUGAAAUCCCGGGGCUCAACCUCGGAACUGCCUUUGAUACUGCAAAUCUCGAGUCCGGAAGAGGUGAGUGGAAUUCCUAGUGUAGAGGUGAAAUGCGCAGAUAUCAGGAGGAACACCAAUUGCGAAGGCAGCUCGCUGGGACGUUACUGACGCUGAGACGCGAAAGCGUGGGGAGCAAACAGG